UAAGCGGAGGAAAAGAAACUAACAAGGAUUCCCCUAGUAACGGCGAGUGAAGCGGGAAGAGCUCAAAUUUGAAAUCUGGUAGCCUUCGGUUGCCCGAGUUGUAAUCUAGAGAAGUGUUUUCCGCGUUGGCCCAUGUACAAGUCCCUUGGAACAGGGCGUCAUAGAGGGUGAGAAUCCCGUCCUUGACAUGGACCCCCAAUGCUUUGUGAUACACUUUCAACGAGUCGAGUUGUUUGGGAAUGCAGCUCAAAAUGGGUGGUGAAUUCCAUCUAAAGCUAAAUAUUGGCGAGAGACCGAUAGCGAACAAGUACCGUGAGGGAAAGAUGAAAAGCACUUUGGAAAGAGAGUUAAACAGUACGUGAAAUUGUUGAAAGGGAAACGAUUGAAGUCAGUCAUGCUCUUUGGAUUAAGCCGUUCUGCGGUGUAUUUCAUUGAGCGGGGUCAACAUCAGUUUUGAUCGCUGGAAAAGGGCAGGAGGAAGGUAGCACUCUCGGGUGAACUUAUAGCCUCUUGUCGUAGUUGGGACUGAGGAACGCAGCAUGCCUUUUGGCCGGGAUUCGUCCACGUACAUGCUUAGGAUGUGA
Molecule: ribosomal RNA, 584 nt
Filed under: Naganishia globosa
Lineage: Eukaryota; Fungi; Basidiomycota; Tremellomycetes; Filobasidiales; Filobasidiaceae
Description: eukaryotic LSU rRNA
Rfam family: Eukaryotic large subunit ribosomal RNA
Source: RNAcentral